UACCAAACCCGGAGCCCUUUCAAAGUGACAGCAUUGAAGAGGAAGGCAAGAAUCCAAGUAGAUUUCGGACAGCGGAGAGAAAAGUCGGUUUUAUCACCACAAGUUCAAAAACGUAGAUCGUCCCGCGAUCCGUACGAAAAGCGAUAUCUUUUGUGAAUAUUUAGUGCAUAAUAUUGAACAAUUCGAAUGCAAAUAUGGCCCUGAAUCCACAAUAUGAGGAGAUCGGAAAAGGAUUCGUCCAGCAAUAUUAUGCGAUGUUCGACGACCCAGCGCUGCGGGCCAAUCUAGUUAAUUUGUAUAGUGCAAAUGAUUCGUUUAUGACAUUUGAAGGACUGCAAAUCCAGGGGGCACCAAAAAUAUUGGAAAAACUACAGAGUUUAACAUUUCAAAAAAUCAAUAGAGUAAUCACAGCCGUAGACUCUCAGCCAACGUUCGACGGAGGCGUUCUAAUAAAUGUCCUAGGAAGACUACAAACAGAUGACGACCAGCCACACGCGUACACACAGACGUUCGUGCUGAAGUCGCUAGGCUCAAUAUUUUUCAUUCAGCACGAUAUCUUCCGGCUGUCGCUGCAUGAUGUAUAGUCAGGCGAUCCCGUCCGGAUGAUGCCAGCGCUAUCCUGACACAAAACGUCUAACGUCUGUAUUGUUGAAGUAGGAGUGCGACGAAGAUCCUCCACAUGCUUUCUCGCAAAUUUUCGUCCUGAAACCGUUAGGAACAUCAUUCUUCUGUGCCCACGACAUCUUCCGUUUGAACAUUCACGACACCGCUUAGAGAAUAGACGAAACAACAUCCAAGCGACAUACAGUAAAGCAAACUAACAGCAACAGCAACCGCAGGAAGAACAGUAAAGCCGAAUAUAUCAAUCAUCAAACAUAUAUGCCUCUAUUUUUUCAUUCACUACAAGAUGAAGCUGAAAAGCAGUAAAUAUACAUAACAGAAGUACCGCCAGCUCUUAUUUUCUAUCAUGAUUUUACUCAGCAAGAUGAAAAGCUAAAGUUAGCGAUUGUAUUGACCUCUGAGACCAUCUGUUAAUUAUUGUAUUUAAGAUGUGCAUGCAAACUUUAAUAAAUGCAAGCGAAAAGGAACGUAGUUGCGAAGAAAGCAGGAAAAUUAUUAAUAAUUGUAGUACAGAGAACAGCGGCUGUAAUCAAUUAAAUUUUCUUUUUAUGAUAUUAUUUCAUUUACUUUGUGUGUUAUUCCUAUAAUUAUUGUUCUAGGUGAAAAUGGAGAUGUUUUUCCUUUUCCCUUUGAUUUUGAAUGAAGUAAAGCAAAACUAGAACUUUACAAACUAUAUUUAAUAUGAACAAGGAGCAUACCAAGCUGCUACAAACUCUAUUGCAAGUGAAACAUUUUAUUCUCAUUACGCUAACCGUUUUUUAUUAAAAAUAAAUGAAAGAGAAGCGAAACUUAUGGAAAAUA
Hermetia illucens (black soldier fly) is the source of this 1422-nucleotide RNA transcript. It is a transcript of the gene named probable nuclear transport factor 2, with no coding region annotated. Lineage: Eukaryota; Metazoa; Arthropoda; Insecta; Diptera; Stratiomyidae. The record is from RefSeq and is a predicted model, not a curated record. The transcript is spliced from 5 exons.